UAGGUACCCUGACAUUUCAGGGGUUCCCAGUAACCCUAAACCGAAUCACAGCUGUAUCAAUAUCUAACCAGCUCGAUUAAAGAUGAGGAAACUGGGGCUGAAAGCGGCUUUGUGACUUGUCCUGAUCAACAUAACAGGGUAAGAAAUACUUUGAACGUUGGCUUUUUGGAGGGAAAGAGGACAACUGCAUUUUGUAGGAAGAAAGCAGAAAGAUUUAAUGAUAUAAGCCCUCAGGCUCCAAUCAGAAUGUACAAAACUCAGGAGACCUCAGAGGACAGGAGC
Long non-coding RNA from Phascolarctos cinereus (koala), 282 nucleotides. RefSeq lists it as uncharacterized. NCBI's taxonomy places the organism in Eukaryota, Metazoa, Chordata, Mammalia, Diprotodontia, Phascolarctidae. The record is from RefSeq and is a predicted model, not a curated record.